CAUAAAUUGUUAUUUGUAAUAUUUUUUAGAUUAUAUGGCAAGUGAUGUUAAAUAUCUUUAGACUUACUUUAAAUUUUUAGAUCUAAUUUAAAUAAUUAAAAAUUAAAAGCAAUUGACCAAUCAAAUUAUAACAAUUAUUUGAAACUUCACCUAUGAGCGACACGUCACCAGAAAUCACUAAAGUGACUUCUCAUUUAAUAUAUAAGGAUGAUCUUUAUCUCCGAACGGAAUACCUAGUUUUAGGAUAUAAGGAAAGUAAAAAUAACCAGCCGAUCUAAUUUCAGUUCUUUUGGAUCAUCUUGUAACAUAUAAGGUUAUUGUUGAGAAAAUAGUAAAUGCUAAAAUUGGUAGCUAGUCUUAACCCACAUAUUUAAUCAUUCAACGUUACAUAUAUGUGGUUGUCAUUAGUAUCAAAAACUAACCAGUCAAUUAUAAACAGUUUUUCGGAUCAUCCUGAUAAUAGUUUUCAAAGAAUUAUAUAUAUGUAUAUGUUCCACCUUUAAGGGUUUCUAUAAUAAACACACAAAACAUUUAUUUGCAGAGAAGAUUUACAAUGUCAUCAUCUAAAUUUGCUAUAUUUUGUAUUGUCCUCUUUUUUUUUACUCGUUUUCAUGAAUGUGCCAACCUGGAAAAAGCUUCCAAACCGACAUGCUCUAAUCCACAUCUUCUUUGGUGCUGCAGCUCAAAUAAACAAUGCCGAAGUUCCAAAUUGGAAUGUAAGAAGGUCUGUAUCAAGGGCCGUUGAAUUAUUCUGAAGAGAAUUUCUAAAAUUAUAUAAUUUAAAUAUUUCGAAGCAUUAUGUUCUAAAUAUUUUGGUAUUUCUUCGAAGAGCUCAAUAUAUAUAGUUCUUUUGCCUUUUUAUGAAAUUCUUAUAUAGUAUUUAGGAAGUUUAAAAUUUUAUAGAAAAAAUAAUACAACUAUUUUAGACUUUUUAACUGUAUUUAAAGAUGUACAGGCUCGGUUUAUUGAAUAAAUUCAUAAUAAUAUAUAUAACGGAAAUACAAAAGAGAGUUUGUUAAUUAAUAGUAGAUAAAUUAAUGAGAUUUUGUCAAAUAUGACUCAAAAUUUGAAAUCAAACACAAAAAUGACUUGCUUUUCUAAAACUUUUAUUUGCCAUAUUCACCCUAAAAGUUCAAAUUAUAUACGGAAAUACCAUUAUUUUUUUUCUUUUUUUUUUUUGAAAAUGAGUGUUUUACUCAUUCAUCCUCAUCUUCCUCAUUUAUUUUAUAACAUUGCCAUUGUCAUCAAAACACCAACCACCAUGAACAACAAAUUCCAAGCUCUAAAUGCACCUAAAAUCAACAUAUACAUCUUCAUAUCCUCAUUUUUUACACAUACACUAUUUUCCUUUCAAUUUAUCUCUUAUUUCAUUCAAAUCCUAAUACAUGAUAAGACUUUUGAAGACUUCUCGAAGACUUCUCUUUAGGUUGGGAACCUAAAUUCUAGUACAUGAUAACACAUAAACUAUUUUCCUUUCACUUUAUCUUUUAUUUCAUCCAAAUAUCCUAAUACAUGAUAAGACUUUUGGACGACUUCUCGAAGACUUCUAGAAGACUUCGAUAUAGGCGGAAAA
Molecule: long non-coding RNA, 1573 nt
Organism: Brassica rapa (field mustard)
Lineage: Eukaryota; Viridiplantae; Streptophyta; Magnoliopsida; Brassicales; Brassicaceae
Source: RefSeq, a predicted model, not a curated record